Long non-coding RNA from Dicentrarchus labrax (European seabass), 708 nucleotides. RefSeq lists it as uncharacterized. The record is from RefSeq and is a predicted model, not a curated record. The transcript is spliced from 2 exons. NCBI's taxonomy places the organism in Eukaryota, Metazoa, Chordata, Actinopteri, Moronidae.
ACAGAGGUCGGCACACCGAGGUCUGACACAAACACAGACAGCAGAGGUUCACCGUGUUCCUGCAGCCAAUCAGAACGACUGCGCCACGAUACAACAGGUAACCCUCCUCUGAUGACCAGUGUUUUUGUGCUGACACCUGGAGCUUUAUGUCUGAGGUUACGGAGCCGUUACUCAUCAUCCUCGGACUAUCUGACACAUUCAGAAGGCUAAACACAGCACAGCAGCGUUUUCUGUCUUACUGACUUAUAACAGCAAGGACAUUAAUUUUCAUGGUGUUGAAACCGUUGCUGCUUCUAAGACGUGGCCAGAGGACCUGACUGAGACGCUUUAUCUGGAGAGGAUACGAUAGAAAGACUCGUACAGUUUAACAGGACCUGGAAACCCCUCAAAGCAAAUCCUGUAAAAGUAAAUCCUGUGUCGAGAUGAGUGACCAGUGAAUGUCACUGCAUGGGGAGGCAGGUGGGAGUAGGUACGAGGUUGGUAGAGAGGAGGAUUGCUAUCAUCACUAAUUUAUUUAUUCAUCUUUAUGAAUUUGUUUCUUAUUUCUAACCUUGUUACCUUUUUUUUUGUAUUUGAACAGUUCAGUUUCAUUCAAUCUGUGAUUUUAUUUUGAAAUUCCUUGGUUUCCUAAUAACCUCAAUGCCACAUGCACAACUGUACGAGCUCUGAAUGCAGUAAUGCUCAAUAAAAAGAUGUUUGUUAAAGAUA